AAUAUUGGAAAUGCGGGCGGGAUGCCCUAUAAUAGAAAUUGUCGGGUCAAACCGACUAUGACGAUAAACGCGCUGUGGAAUAGGCGAUACGGACCCGGGGGCGGUACCCGGCGGCUCCACCAAUUAUCCAGUUUGCGGUUGCUUUGCGAAAAGCCCGCGCCGGUAUGGGGCCGAAAUAGGAUCGACGUGCGUAGUAAAGAUGGUUGCUUUCGUCCGGCAUUGUUCCGCCGUUAUCGGGCUACUUUUAUAAAUGCUAACGAUAACACCGUAGCACCGGUUGCUCUCGCUGCCUAAUGGCGGCCUGAGUGCCAAAUGAUACAAUCCCUGUAUCUUUGCGGAUAUAGGUGGGGCGUGGGGCAGGCCUAGCAACAGAACUGCCCCAUU
RNAcentral lists this transfer-messenger RNA (384 nucleotides) under Alphaproteobacteria bacterium. It matches the Rfam family "Alphaproteobacteria transfer-messenger RNA". From Rfam's summary of the family: Bacterial tmRNA, also known as 10Sa RNA or SsrA, is named for its dual tRNA and mRNA-like properties. Lineage: Bacteria; Pseudomonadati; Pseudomonadota; Alphaproteobacteria. The record is from RNAcentral.